AAGUCGUAACAAGGUUUCCGUAGGUGAACCUGCGGAAGGAUCAUUAAAAAACGUGGUACCAAUUAUUGGUACUAAUUAAUCAUCCUACCCUUUGUGAAUUUGUUUGUAAUGAAUUUUUUUUAAAUGGGUCUUUCCCUAAGUUGGAUUGUUAGUAAAAUACAAAAAAGACUUAGGGGAAUGACUUUUUUAAAAGACUUUUUUUUUAAUUAAAACUUUUUGUAUUCAUUUGUCUAAAAUUUAUUUUUAUAAUAUAAAAACAACUUUUGACAAUGGAUCUCUUGGUUCUCGCAACGAUGAAGAACGCAGCAAAAUGCGAUAAGUAGUGUGAAUUGCAGAAUACGUGAAUCAUCGAAUCUUCGAACGCAUAUUGCACUUUUUUAGUUUACUAAAAAAGUAUGUCUGUUUGAGUAUCAGUAAAAUAUUCUCACAAACAUAUAUUGUUUGUGGUAAUGAGUGUUUUACAACGAUAAACAAGUUGUUUCACUUUAAAUUCUUUUGUAAGUUUUUACUACCAAUUCAUAAAUUAAAAUUGGAUAAAAUUUUCCUUUAACGAGGAAUAACCUAAACAAUUUUAAAUUUUAUGGUUUGUAAACAUUCAUCAAAGGAAUCUAUUAUACAUAAAUAACUUGAUCUCAAAUCAGAUAAGAGUACCCGCUGAACUUAAGCAUAUCAAUAAGCGGAGGAAAAGAAACUAACAAGGAUUCCCUUAGUAACGGCGAGUGAAGCGGGAAGAGCUCAAAUUUGAAAUCUUCAAGGUUUGACCUUGACGAAUUGUAGUUUAUAGAAGUGUUUUCUGUUGGAGUUUUGGUAAAAGUUCUUUGGAAUAGGACAUCAUAGAGGGUGAGAAUCCCGUAUUUGACCAUGACUUUCCAGCUGUGUGAUACACUUUCAAAGAGUCGGAUUGUUUGGGAAUGCAGUCCAAAAUGGGUGGUAAAUUUCAUCUAAAGCUAAAUAUUGGCGAGAGACCGAUAGCGAACAAGUACCGUGAGGGAAAGAUGAAAAGAACUUUGAAAAGAGAGUUAAACAGUACGUGAAAUUGUCAAAAGGGAAGCGUUUGACACCAGUGUUGUUUUCUCGAAAAUCAAUUUAAUGAGUUCUUGUUUUUAAGUUAUUGUGACUUUAUCAGCGCAUUUCUUAUUUUACUUGACUCAUUGAAUGCACUUUUCGUUUAACAAGUCAACAUCAAUUUCUUUGGUGGUAAAAAGUUUAAAGGAAGGUGGCUUGGACUUCGGUUCAAGUGUUUAUAGCCUUUUUUCUAUGCCAUCGGAGAGAUUGAGGUCUGCAGCGUAGAUCCUUCGGGGUUAGAUACCUUUGUGCUAAGUUAUAGUUCUUUAUAGACAACUUGUUGACUAUAAUUAACCCUGUAAUUUACUCGCUUAGGCUAUUUUACCUACGCUUAGGAUGUUGAG
Molecule: unclassified non-coding RNA, 1409 nt
Filed under: uncultured Neocallimastigales
Lineage: Eukaryota; Fungi; Neocallimastigomycota; Neocallimastigomycetes; Neocallimastigales
Description: partial contains small subunit ribosomal RNA, internal transcribed spacer 1, 5.8S ribosomal RNA, internal transcribed spacer 2, and large subunit ribosomal RNA
Rfam family: Eukaryotic large subunit ribosomal RNA (bases 628-1409)
Source: RNAcentral